CGGAAAUAAACAUAUAUUAGUUGAAUUUAAUAAGUAUAAAAUAUGGCAUUAACCCCUGUGAGGAGAGUAAUUCAUUCGUUUCAGCUAAAUAAUGUGCUUUACUGUUAAUGGCCUGUGAAUUUGACAUUGAGGCCCCUGACAAUCCUGCAAAAAGAAUUUCAGUUCGCGUAAAAAGCAAAUAAUUUAUUGGGGUUGGUAUAUAAAUUCAUAAAAUGUAUCAGAUCCAGUUUAUAUUAGGCUACUACGCGGUGAAGCGCUCUGAAAAACAAAGAUACAGACUGAGCACUACUCAAGCCCCUAGGCCAGCCGACACAUGGGUCGCUCUCGAUUGGUCAGAGUAAGGCGAGGCCCCUCCCCUCGUUGUUGUAGGCAAUAUUUACAUGUUGAGCCAGAAAGUACAGUUAAGUAAUGAAGACAAGCAACGCGAGCUAUCAUUCACCGUUUAAAGUGGCGCUUAAAGAGACAUAAUGACCUCGUUCUUCAACUGUUAGCCAGGUGGGAACUUUAUGACUUUCACGGCCAAGUACUGUCAGGAUCAGAGGAAGACUGCGCCCUCGUCUUAGCCCGGAGGCACCCGAGAGAGACUGACGAGAACCAUUCUGGAUCAUCAUGUCAACACCCGAUUAACCUCGGACCUGCUUCAAGGCAACGUGCAAACUGAUCGACCAACACUGCUGCCCGCACUUUUUCACCAAACAACUCACUGAACUGGAGAAGGACUUUCACUUCAACAAGUACUUAAACAAAUUAAGAAGAACCGAACAAGUACCUGAGCAAAUCAAGAAGAACCGAAAUAGAUCGCGCUGUGCACCUGAGCAGGACCCAGGUGAAGAUCUGGUUCCAGAGCAAGCGGAUGAAGCAGAAGAAGAGAAAGAAGGAAGGCCUGGCUCCUCCAUCUGCUCUGUCACCACACUGGCUCUCGCUGUCAAGAAAAAAGUGCCUGGAACUGCAUCAGACGAGCAGUUCAUUCAAACCUUAGCUACUCAUGGUGUAGACUUUAGCAUCUAAGUGCCCUUACUGAUUUUCAUGAAUAUUUCAUGAAUAUUUAUACUGAAACUGUGCUUUUUAAAUAUUUGAUUAAAUUACUAAGCAAAUUGUUGCAGCUUUAAUUUUCAAUACUGGAUUCAUUUUUAAUUGUUGAACAUUUACAUUGAGUAGAGAGUUUAUGAAGUGCAUUUUUAAUCACAGCACUCAGUGUUUGUUAGAGAGAGAGAACAUCCAUAUUGAUCUGUACCUGGUCUGUGAUUAGAUUAUUUUGAUCUCAAGAGUUUGGUGUUACUCAAUUUUUAUAAAAGUUCUUAUAAAAUCACUGUAUUGAAGUCAUUAACUAGUAAUAGAAUAUAGUAUUUCUACUAGUGCUGUCAAACGAUUAAUCGCGAUUAAUCGCAUACAAAAUAAAAGUUUUUGUUUGCAUAAUAUAUGUGUGUGU
This is a long non-coding RNA of Cyprinus carpio (common carp), 1429 nucleotides long. The record is from Ensembl. Lineage: Eukaryota; Metazoa; Chordata; Actinopteri; Cypriniformes; Cyprinidae.